GGGGGAUUCUGGUCGGAAUGUUUUGUGUGGAGUAGUGGAUCAGAUGGAUCUAAUUGGUAUCCACGGGCAGCCAGUGUGUCGGUGUUGAAAGAGAAUCACACAACGUCCACCGGGUUCAGUUUCAUAUUUAUUCGAAUAUAAAUAAAAAUUUUAAUAUUCAAUAAAUAUCUGCAUCUAUAUUUAUAUUUAUCAAAUAAAAAUGAAUACGA
This 209-nucleotide long non-coding RNA is filed under the name Elaeis guineensis (African oil palm). RNAcentral describes it as "long non-coding RNA (EGUI_LNC018659)". Lineage: Eukaryota; Viridiplantae; Streptophyta; Magnoliopsida; Arecales; Arecaceae. The record is from RNAcentral.